This 558-nucleotide ribosomal RNA is filed under the name uncultured bacterium. RNAcentral describes it as "partial 16S ribosomal RNA". It matches the Rfam family "Bacterial small subunit ribosomal RNA", at positions 355 to 902 of the family's 1533-position model. The record is from RNAcentral.
UAAGGAAUAUUGGUCAAUGGACGCAAGUCUGAACCAGCCAUGCCGCGUGAAGGAUUAAGGUCCUCUGGAUUGUAAACUUCUUUUUAUCUGGGACGAAAAAAGGCGAUUCUUCGUCACUUGACGGUACCAGAUGAAUAAGCACCGGCUAACUCCGUGCCAGCAGCCGCGGUAAUACGGAGGGUGCAAGCGUUAUCCGGAUUCACUGGGUUUAAAGGGUGCGUAGGCGGGCAGGUAAGUCAGUGGUGAAAAUCCCUGGAGCUUAACUCCAGAACUGCCAUUGAUACUAUCUGUCUUGAAUAUUGUGGAGGUAAGCGGAAUAUGUCAUGUAGCGGUGAAAUGCUUAGAUAUGACAUAGAACACCUAUUGCGAAGGCAGCUUACUACGCAUAUAUUGACGCUGAGGCACGAAAAGCGUGGGGAUCAAAACAGGAUUAGAUACCCUGGUAGUCCACGCCCUAAAACGAUGGAUACUCGACAUACGCGAUACACUGUGUGUGUCUGAGCGAAAAGCAUUAAAGUAUCCCCACCUGGGGAAAGUACGACCGCAAGGUUGAAACUC